This 209-nucleotide long non-coding RNA is filed under the name Manacus vitellinus (golden-collared manakin). RNAcentral describes it as "lncRNA (ENSMVIG00005016812.1)". The record is from RNAcentral. Lineage: Eukaryota; Metazoa; Chordata; Aves; Passeriformes; Pipridae.
CAAACCAUGUUAGCCAGCCACUUAAGUAGCUCUGAAUGAUUCACUAGCUUUGGUACUUUUUAUUGCCUGCUGUUAAAACUCUGAGCUGUUUGUGUACUGACAGAAUGGGGUUACUGAGCCAUGAUCAACGCUGGAGCCGGAAUGGCAUCAUUGCUUGAGAAAAAACCUAUAGCUUGGUGGCACAGUUAGGAGCAGAUUGCCAGACAGAC